UACGUAGGGAGCAAGCGUUGUCCGGAAUCAUUGGGCGUAAAGCGCGCGUAGGCGGCCCUGUAAGUCCGUUGUGAAAGUCAAAGGCUCAACCUUUGAAAGCCGAUGGAUACUGCAGGGCUAGAGUCCGGAAGAGGCGAGUGGAAUUCCUGGUGUAGCGGUGGAAUGCGCAGAUAUCAGGAGGAACACCGGUGGCGAAGGCGGAUCUCUGGGCCUUACCUGACGCUCAGGCGCGAAAGCUAGGGGAGCGAACAGG
RNAcentral lists this ribosomal RNA (253 nucleotides) under uncultured bacterium. RNAcentral's name for it is "partial 16S ribosomal RNA". It matches the Rfam family "Bacterial small subunit ribosomal RNA", at positions 524 to 776 of the family's 1533-position model. The record is from RNAcentral.